AGCUCCAAUAGCGUAUAUUAAAGUUGUUGCAGUUAAAAAGCUCGUAGUUUGAUUUCUGGCUGGGUAGCGAAGGCACGCCCGUGUGGUUGUCGCAUGAGCUCUCAACCAUCCUUCUGUUAACUCUUCGGGUAUUUACUUAUUCGCUGAGGGCUCAGAUAUUUUACCUUGAGAAAAUUAGAGUGUUUCAGGCAGGCUUUACGCCGGAAUACAUUAGCAUGGAAUAAUGGAAUAGGACUUCUACCUCUUCUGUUGGUUCUGAGGGGCUGGAGUAAUGAUUAAUAGGGAUAGUUGGGGGCAUUAGUACUUAACUGCUAGAGGUGAAAUUCUCAGAUUUGUUAAAGACUAACUUAUGCGAAAGCAUUUGCCAAGGAUGUUUUCA
Molecule: ribosomal RNA, 379 nt
Filed under: uncultured eukaryote
Lineage: Eukaryota
Description: SSU rRNA
Rfam family: Eukaryotic small subunit ribosomal RNA
Source: RNAcentral